RNAcentral lists this long non-coding RNA (6532 nucleotides) under Solanum lycopersicum (tomato). RNAcentral's name for it is "long non-coding RNA (SLYC_LNC001343)". Lineage: Eukaryota; Viridiplantae; Streptophyta; Magnoliopsida; Solanales; Solanaceae. The record is from RNAcentral.
AAAUAUACUCAUUGAAGUACAAGAAUUCAAAUAAUCUUUAAAACAUUUAUUCAUACUCUCACUUCUUUGACUUGUUGACAUGCCUGCACAAAAAGUAGUACACACAUAUGCUGGUAUCAAUUUUCACGAAUUGCAUAUAUUCUCUACAACCCACUAAUUUUUCCUAAAUUAUACGUCCCCAUUAUUUCUAUCUAUAUUGUUUCAAAUUUCUUAGGAGUAGUUGUAUCGUGAAUAUACCAACUAAACUUGCUACUAAAAUCAGCAUACUAAUGAUAAACAUGACCUAAAUAUUCUGGAAUCUUCUUUGUUAUGUGUCACAUACAAAAAUGAUGUUUAUGUUGGGUUUUAACAAGUGUGAAUGGAAAAAUAAAAAAGAGAAUAUCAAAAGUGAGGGAACUACUUUGGAGGGAAAAUGAAAAGUCAUUUGCAAAGUGCAAAUGAAAAGUCAUUUCUUUGGAUUUGGAUUUGGAUUUGGCAAAUGAUGUGAUUGAUUGAUAUAUUUUUUGGACAAAAUUUAUUCAAUCAAUUUUUGUUAAAUCAAAUAAAUCCUGUUAAUAUUAUUUCUUAUAAAUUUGCGGGUAACAGUAACAUUCCGAAAAGUCGUUACUUUUCCGAAAAGUCGUUACUUUCCAAAAAGUAGUUAUUUUCCUAACAGACACAAUUUUUCAAAAAAGUUGUUAUUUUUUCCAAAAGACACAACUUUCUGGAUAAAAUGGGUCUGAACAGAUUUCACUGAACGGACAUGUUCCUUGCUGAAAAUGGCUAUAAAAGGAAGUCAAAUUUUGAUUUUUUAAACACUGAAAAUUUUUCUUUCUCUGCAUUUAUUUUUCUCUCAAAUAAAAUCAAAGUGUCGAUCGACUGAGUCUGUGUGACUUGUUGUUGUUCUUAAGUUCGUUGAAGUUAAAGAAGUUUGAGGUACCGCUAUUUCUUUAACAGGUUUAAUCCGUUUUAUCUUGAGAGAAAUUAAUCCAUAACCUUGGGUACAGUGAGGGAAUUAAAUUUCUUAAGGACACAUAGUAGUUUCUGUGGACUCGGAUUAAUUCUUGUAUUCUAUAUUAUUUUCUGCUUCAUCUUAUUUCUGUUUCUGUUUAUUAACUUUAUAAAUAAAAGUUAUUAUAAGAGUAACAAUCUUAAGAAAAUUUAUACAGUUUCUGUGUUUGAGGUUUCUGGAGAUUAAAACCUUUAUGGUUUUCUACUCUACUUGAAUUUUUAAAAUCAUUCGAUUAACGAUUAAAAAAACAUAAAAACUUUAUCGUUAAAUCAGAAACAGGUUGUGUAAAGAUUUGCUCUUUACUGUUAGUAUUUUAAAUACUUAAUUUAUCUGCCAAUUGUGACAGAAAAAAAAGACUAAUUCAAGUCAAACAAAUGCUGGAACAGUAAGUGCUGCAACAACAAUGGUUGCACAUAAUCGUUCACAUGCUGCCUUAGCACCGGCUGAGAAACCUGCAAAGUUUUCUGGAGUCGACUUUAAGAGAUGGCAGCAAAAGAUGUUCUUCUAUCUCACUACGUUGAGUCUGCAGAAGUUCAUCAAUGAGAAUGUUCCUGUUAUGUCAGAUGAAACUUCGGCUGAUGAACGAUUCUUGGUAACAGAAGCAUGGACACACUCAGAUUUUUUGUGUAAAAAUUAUAUUUUGAGUGGUCUGCAAGAUGAUCUGUACAAUGUGUACAGCAAUGCAAAAACCUCAAAAGAACUCUGGGAUGCUUUAGAAAAGAAGUACAAAACAGAAGAUGCCGGAAUGAAGAAAUUCAUUGUGGCAAAAUUUCUAGACUUUAAGAUGAUAGACAGUAAGACUGUCGUCACCCAAGUUCAAGAAUUGCAGGUUAUAAUCCAUGAUCUCCUUGCUGAAGGUAUAAAUUUAUUUAAUGCCUAUGUUAGAAAUAUUAAGUUUUCCCUUAAUACUCACAUAACCUUUAAUGUAGGAUUGAUUGUGAAUGAUGCUUUUCAAGUGGCUGCAAUUAUUGAAAAGUUACCUCUAUUGUGGAAGGACUUUAAAAACUACUUGAAACACAAACGCAAGGAGAUGAUUGUUGAAGAUCUCAUAGUAAGGUUGAGAAUCGAAGAGGAUAAUAAGGCUGCAGAAAAGAGGUCACGUGGUAAUUCAGCAAUAUCUGGAGUAAAUUUUGUUGAAGAAGAUUCCACAAAAUUCAAGAAAAGAAAGAAAGCAUCUGGUCCAAAACGCAAUCCUCCUAAGAAGAAAUUCAAUGGAAACUGCUUUAAUUGUGGUAAACAUGGUCAUAGGGCUAAUGAAUGCCGGGGUCCUAAGAAGGACAAGAAAAAGAAGGAUCAAGCAAACUUGGCUGAAUCCAAAGGAGAAAUGGACGAUCUCUGUGCAAUGCUUUCAGAAUGUAACUUGGUUGGAAAUCCAAGAGAAUGGUGGAUAGAUUCUGGUGCCUCAUGCCAUGUUUGUGCCAACAAAGAAUUAUUUUCAUCAUAUACUCUAGCACUUACAGAUGAAAAAUUAUUUAUGGCAAACUCCGCUGUUGCAAAGGUGGAAGGAACUGGCAAAGUCCUAUUAAAGAUGACAUCAGGCAAGGUAGUGACUUUGAAUAUGGUCUCAUAUGUUCCAGAAUUGAGAAAUAAUUUAGUUUCAAUUCCAAUUCUGACCAAGAAUGGAUUUAAAUGUGUAUUUGUUUCUGAUAAAGUAGUAGUAAGCAAAAAUGAUAUGUAUGUAGGAAAAGGCUACCUUAGUGAUGGCCUUUUCAAACUCAAUGUAAUUGCAGUUGAUAUGAAUAAAGAUUUUGCUUCUUCUUACUUGCUUGAGUCUAAAUGUUUAUGGCAUGAACGUUUGGGACAAGUUAAUAACAAAACCUUGCGAAAACUGAUUAACUUAAAUAUUUUGCCAAAAUUUGAGUGCAAUAAAUCAAAAUGUCAAAUUUGUGUUGAAUCUAAGUAUGCUAAGCAUUCUUAUAAAUCUGUUGAAAGGAAUUCAAAUCCUUUAGAAUUGAUUCACACUGAUAUUUGUGACAUGAAGUCAACACCAUCACGUGGUGGGAAAAAAUAUUUCAUAACACUUAUUGACGAUUGCACUAGAUAUUGUUAUGUCUAUUUGCUAAAUAGUAAGGAUGAAGCAAUAGAUGCAUUUAGGCAAUAUAAAACUGAAGUUGAAAAUCAGUUAGAUAAAAAGAUCAGAAUGAUCAGAAGUGAUAGAGGUGGAGAAUAUGAAUCUCCAUUUGCAGAAAUAUGUUUAGGAAAUGGAAUAAUCCAUCAAACUACUGCUCCCUACACUCCUCAGUAUAAUGGAAUUGCAGAAAUAAAAAAUCAAACUUUAAAAGAAAUGAUAAAUGCAUUACUUAUAAGUUCAGGUUUACCACAGAACUUGUGGGGGGAAGCUAUCCUUACAGCAAAUCAGAUACUUAACAGAGUGCCUCACUCAAAGACAAAUGUAAUUCCAUAUGAGAAAUAGAAAGGUAGAAAACCCAAUUUGAAAUAUUUCAACGUGUGGGGGUGUCUAGCCAAAGUCCAAGUUCCUAUACCUAAGAGGGUAAAAAUAGGACCUAAAACUGUGGAUUGUGUAUUCAUUGGAUAUGCGACAAACAGUAAGGCAUGUCGAUUUUUGGUUCAUAAGUCUGAACAUCCGGAUAUUCAUGAUAAUACGGUAAUGGAAUCAGAUAGUGCUGAAUUUUUUGAACAUAUCUAUCCGAAUAAAACUAGACUUGAGUCAUCUAGUGGGGAAUCUAAACAACCCAGAGAAAAAACAAAAGAGAAUGAACAAAAUGAAGAAAGUCCAAGACGCAGUAAACGUCAAAAGACAUCUACUUCAUUUUAAUCAGAUUUUGUAACAUUUCUUCUUGAAAGUGAGCCUCAAACAUUCAAGGAAGCAAUGUUGUCUAGUGACUCAACCUCUUGGAAGGAGGCUGUUAAUAGUGAAAUUGAAUCAAUCUUAAGCAAUCAUACUUGGGAGUUGGUUGAUCUUCCUCCAGGGAACAAACCCUUGGGUUCAAAAUGGAUCUUUAAAAGGAAGAUGAAAGACGAUGGAACUAUUGACAAAUAUAAAGCAAGACUAGUUGUCAAAGGUUUUAAACAAAAAGAAAGUCUUGAUUAUUUUGACACAUACUCACCAGUGACUGGGGUUACAUCAAUUCGGAUGUUAAUUGCACUAGCUGCAGUAUACGGUCUUGAAAUUUAUCAAAUGGAUGUAAAAACAGCCUUCUUAAAUGGAGAGCUUGAAGAGGAAAUUUACAUAGAACAGCCUGAGGGUUUUGUAGUUCCUGGUAAAGAAAAGAAAGUGUGCAAACUUAUUAAGUCACUUUAUGGGCUAAAACAAGCACCAAAACAAUGGCAUGCAAAGUUUGAUCAAACUAUGUUGUCAAAUGGAUUUAAGAUCAAUGAAUGUGAUAAAUGUGUUUACAUUAAAGAUACUCCAAAUCAGGAAGUUAUUUUAUGCCUAUAUGUAGAUGAUAUACUUAUAAUGAGCAAAGACAUUGCUAAUAUAAAAGCUACAAAGCGUAUGCUUGCUAGUAAGUUUGAUAUGAAAGAUUUAGGAGUUGCUGAUGUAAUAUUAGGAAUUAAAAUUCUUAAGACUCCUAAUGGUCUAACAUUGUCUCAAACUCAUUAUAUUCAAAAGAUACUUGAAAAAUUCAAAUUUUUGAAUUUUAAAAGGGCAAAGACUCCAAUUGAUGUAAAUCUUCAUCUUGCAAAGAAUAAAGGCGAAAGUCAGUUUCAAUUGGACUAUGCUAGCGUAUUGGGAAGCUUAAUGUAUGUUAUGAAUUGUACACGACCAGACAUAGCUUGCGCUAUCAGUAAACUGAGUCGAUACACAAGUUAUCCUAAUCAUAAUCAUUGGUUGGCAAUGAAGAGAGUUUUGAGAUACUUAGAUGACACUCAAAACUAUGCUUUACAUUACAACAGAUAUCCAGCCGUUCUUGAAGGAUAUAGUGAUACAAAUUGGAUUACUGGAUCAACUGAAACAAAAUCCACAAGUAGAUACAUUUUUACUAUUGGUGGAGGAGCAAUAUCUUGGAAAUCAUCGAAACAAACAUGUAUAGCUCGCUCUACAAUGGAGUCUGAAUUCAUUACUUUAGACAAGGCAAGUGAAGAAGCUGAAUGGCUCCGGAAUUUCUUAGAAGAUAUUCCAUUUUGUCCCAAACCAAUGGCCCCUAUAUGCAUGCAUACAUUGUGAUAGUCAAGCUGCAAUAGGAAGGGCUGGAAGCAUUAUGUAUAACGGCAAGUCUCGUCACAUAAGACGAAGACAUAACUCUGUGAGACAACUACUCUCUAGUGGAAUUAUCACAAUUGACUAUGUGAAGUCAAAAGAUAAUGUGCCGGAUCCACUUACAAAAGGCCUAAAUAGAGAGGGAGUUGAGAAAUCAUCGACGGGAAUGGGACUAUGGACGAGAACAAGUCAUCGUGGCGGUAACUCUACCUAGAAGACUGGAGAUCCCAAGAUCUAGGUUCAAGGAGAUAAAACAAAGUCAUUGAUGACGGUUCAACAUUGUCAAAGAAAAAAAAUAUUAUUAUUAUUUUAUGGUCCAUUCUCAUGAUGAGACAAUGUUUAGUAACCAGGAUAAAGACAUAAGGACUUUUUAACGGUUUCUAAGUUUGAUACAGGGAAUAUCAAAUGGUGUAUCUAUGGGAUAACACAUUUAGAAAUCACCUAUGUAAGUGUGAAGUGUAAGCCGCUUCAAGGAGAAUCUGGUAAGGCCAGUUCUUUAAGCACUUACUAUCCAAGAUGUGUUCAUGGCUGAAACGAACAAAACAAUGAGAACUAAGAACAGUUCAAGGGUUGAUUGUGUGACAUAUGUUGUCUAGGUAUACACCAAAUCUCGACGGUUCAAAGAUAUCAAAUCUACCGAUUGACCGAGUAUAUCCGAUAUAUGUUCACUACGAAAAGUUUAAAGGGAAACCUACUUAUCCAGAUGCGAUUAACCUUUACCUACAAGACACACAAGUUUUUUCAUUCAUAUGUUUUAACAAUAGCCUUCCCCAUUCAUAUGGGGGAUUGUUGGGUUUUAGCAAGUGUGAAUGGGAAAAGAAAAGAGAGAAUAUCAAAAGUGAGGGAACUACUUUGGAGAGAAAAUGAAAAGUCAUUUGCAAAGUGCAAAUGAAAAGUCAUUUCUUUGGAUUUGGAUUUGGAUUUGGCAAAUGAUGUGAUUGAUUGAUAAUUUUUUUGGACAAAAUUUAUUUAAUCAAUUUUUGUUAAAUCAAAUAAAUCUUGUUAAUAUUAUCUCUUAUAAAUUUGCGGGUAAUAGUAACAUUCUGAAAAGUCGUUACUUUUCCAAAAAGUCGUUACUUUCCAAAAAGUAGUUAUUUUCCUAACAGACACAAUUUUUCAAAAAAGUUGUUAUUUUUUCCAAAAGACACAACUUUCUGGAUAAAAUGGGUUUGAACAGAUUUCACUGAACAGACAUGUUCCUUGCUGAAAAUGGCUAUAAAAGGAAGUCAAAUUUUGAUUUUUUAAACACUGAAAAUUUUUCUUUCUCUGCAUUUAUUUUUCUCUCAAAUAAAAUCAAAGUGUCGAUCGACUGAGUCUGUGUGACUUGCUGUUCUUAAGUUCGUUGAAGUUAAAGAAGUUUGAGGUACCACUAUUUCUUU